GGCGGGUCGCGGUGAGAAGGAAGAGUAGGUAGGCGUACAGAGAGAAUAGGUGUUAAGGUGUAGCGGUGAGGAGAAAGAGUGGGUUGCGACCAGGAGGAGAAGAACUCGGUGUGAUAGUGGGUUACGACGACGAGGAGGAGAAGAUGUGUACAACGCGGCAGCUACGUGAGGUGAGAGGACCUCACGCGCACCGGCACCACCGACCGGUCUCGGUCCCGUCGUGGGGAAUAACCGCUCCUUGGGUCUCUGCGGUACCUACCGCGGUACCUUCGAGGAGACGACAGCCAGACUAGACCGGCAGUGCGGGGUCAGCAGCCGGGCGAGACAUAGGCCGGUCGUCGGGGCGGAGGCUAGGCUAAGCCUGCCGGGGUGCGUGUCGGAGGCGGUGGAUGCCCGAUGCCGUACGGGGGUCUCCAAGACGACUAGGGCGCGGCGAGUAGGACCGAAGUAGGAGACGAGCGCCGAGCGCAACUGGCGGAGCGGCGCCGGACGAGGUCCGGUGGUUAGCCUCGGACAGGUGCUUCAGGUCGGCCGGGAGGAGGGCCCGCGCGAGGAGCCGGCAACGGCGCACGAGGCGGUCGUUGAAGCAGUACUCGGGCAGCUUAACCGCCACGUGGACCGCGUAGAACCGGGUCGGUGCUGGCGCGGUCGUGCUUCAGCGACUACAACUUAUCGGGGCACGACCGGUCCUCGCUGUACUAGUAGAGGAACAUCGACGACCUGAGCAGGAGCAGGGGCUGGCGUUGCGGACCGGCUACGGGGGAGAGAAGGAGACGACGCUUUAACGAUAGAGCGUUCGCGGUGCCGCUGGUGCUGGCGAGAUAGAAUCCCUUUAGUUACCCAACCCAAGCAAGGCAAGGUAAAAGAAGCGAGGAAAGGGUGAACCUUAAAGAAGAGUAAGGCAAAAGGAAAGGAAACGAGGCAGAAGUAAUGCCUCCUUUAAGCAAGGAAAGGGAAGAGAAGCCUUCUUUAAGCAAGGAAAGGGAAGAGGAGACCUCCCUUAAACCCGCGCCGCCGCCCCCGGCCACCCCCGCCGCGCGGCGCCUUCCCGCCCCGUCGUCUACCUGCCCCGGGCCACCCCCGCCGCGCGGCGCCUUCCCGCACCGUCGUCUACCUGCCCCGGGCCGCCACCACCGCGCGACGCCUACCUACCCUCCGUUCCAGCACCCAGCAAGUCAACAAGAAAAAAAAGACAAAACGGGCAUGGCCAAUCCCUUUCUAAAUAAAUAAACAAAUAAAUCCAUUUAUCAGAUACUGUACACCCGGUGUGUAGGGGAAAACUGAUCAGUUUAACUGAAUCAGUUGGGCUUAAUCUUAUUAUAUAAUUAAGAUUUUUUAUUUAAUUUGAAUUUUUUAAUCAUAUUUUAUUAGGCAUUGAGCCUACUUUUAUGAAACAUGUACUUUCAACGAGUCUUGCUGCUCUGCUUAGGUUGAUGCGUUAGACAAGCGGACGGUGUGUAGGGAUCGUAUCGUUUGUACGUUGGAACGAGGAGGCCAAGCUGAUAGGCUUUUGCAGUUUGUGGCCCUUAUGAAAGGGCCUACAAGGGGGGGAAGCAGCCAUAGCGGAUGAUGACGCAAUCCAGUAGGGAUCGUGGUGAAUAACGGUACAAUACGAAACACAACGAAACUAACGAGAUAAUAAAUACACCCAAGGGGGAGGCAAUGAAGAAAGGCCAUCUGGAGCUCUGGCGGCGACUAUGGGGGCACUAGCUGAUGUAGCUGUUGCUGGGGAGGAAGAACGGUCUCGUUGGUCCGUUCGGGGGGAACUAGUUGGGCUAUAGCGGAUAAGAAGAGAGAUGAAGAACGUAAUCUCAUCACAUCGUACAAUGACGAAAACCUAUUAGGAUAAGACUACGUAUCAGACAGUAACAACGAUGUCAACAACUAUGGAAUGGACGUUAGGAUUUACGAAUCAUAUUCUACGAUCAAAUAGUAGUCACCGGGAUGUAAGAACAGGCAGACGGUACGAUAUGAUAGACCGGCACUAGUGAGCCCUCCACUAGUGCCCAUAUAUGAAUAUAUGUAAUAUAUAUAUAUACUAUGUACACCACUGAUUUCAGCUCAGCCGAGCAUCUCAUGGACGUUCACUAAGUGCCUAACCCCCGACUUCCUGGAGACAGGGCUGCCGGGAGACCCACCUAGAAACACCGCCUCGCUGUACCGUCCAACUCCGGUGGAUCUACUCUCCACCCGGACCCGGACCAGCCGCAGGUGCCAAUGAAGUUUUAUUGUGCGAAUUGCUCUAGAACCAUAAACUAGACUCAGAUCGGUGACCGUAUAUGCGUGAUUCCUUGAUGCGCCCUUGUCAAUACACGUGAGCUGCAGCACCAUAGUCGGCUUCGGAUCCAGACGAAGGUCGGCGUAAGCGUUGUACGUCCACACGUUACCCGCUACACGGGUCUAGGGAAGCGGUAUCCUAAAUCUGACUGUACGACUGGAGAGACAACACGGAUCCACCCCGACGCUGCACAACUAGAAGGCUCCGGCCCGUACUGGGUCCUUUCACACAGGCCGGUUUCCCCUAGCUCGCACAACCCAAAACACCACGUGGGGACGUCCCUUCAAAUAGAUAAACUUAUCAGCACAGGGAGCCAUUUUCCUACCGGGCCUCAACAUGGAACUGGAAUACUGUUGAUCAUGACCUAUGAAGUAUUUUAUGUGGGAAAGUUUACGGUCUAUGUUGAGCUACUAGCGAGAGAGUGUCCCGCUGCUCCUCUCCUAAACGGCCCAUCCUAAUACGAUAUGCUACUAUGAACCAAUUGAAUAGUAGAUAAGAGAAGAUAACGCAGUUCUACCUCCGACGGUCUUCGCAUCAGAAGCUAUCCUGGUCGAUAGGGGGAGAAAGACCGUAAGACGUCAAAUCAGAUGUAUAUCAUGGGGAAAGUAACUAUGGUUACGUAUACAUCACAUCUUGGAACGAACACUCAUGUAACCUGCUCAUGAGUGCCAACGAAACGAGGGGGGGAAAAAGGGGAAAGAUAUGGGCCAACAACGCUGGUCCGCAACCUCGGGUCCUCGGUCUGCGGUGGCAGCUGCUACUGAGGAUGAUGUGACCUCCACGGAUGAUGAUGCACGUCCGGCGACUGUCUCAUCAAAUCCUCCUAGGGUCCGUCCUCCGGACGCGGAGAAAGCUAGACAUAGGGUCAAACACGAUCGGUAGAAUACCGUUGAACAAAUUGAAUACAGACAUGAGUCUAUAACAACGAAGGCGACUGAGCAGAUACUAGCUCGAGAUCAUAAGCUCGGGAGCUCCGGGGACCGAACAUUAUACUACGAACGUUCUGAAUAAAAUAA
Molecule: ribosomal RNA, 3294 nt
Filed under: Triticum aestivum (bread wheat)
Lineage: Eukaryota; Viridiplantae; Streptophyta; Magnoliopsida; Poales; Poaceae
Description: partial small subunit ribosomal RNA
Source: RNAcentral